AUUGAAAAAAUUAAAUAAGAAUCUCUUCCCUAAACCGAUUUUCCUUUGUUAAUUUAAAUAAAAAAAAGUGAAAAGAAAAAAAGUUUCGAAAGCCCUAACCCAUCGUCCCCCACACACUUCAUUUCUUCAGUUCCUCAACAUUUCCUAAAUUCCCCUUUUCUCUCUUGGAAAACUACUUCUUGAAUUUCGCUGGUAAGUUGUAUGCAUCUCGUUCAUAAAAUGUUCUCAUCGUAUGAAUUUCACUCAAGAUUUUGGUGUGCAGCAUCAAUUGCAAUCUUAAUAAUCGUUUGCACUUGAAUUGAUCUCGAUCGAAUUUGGCAGCAAAUGGUAUUUGGUGCUGAUUAAAACGCAAUCUUCGAUCCCUAAAAACAUCCAAUCCCUAAAAGUUCUUUCGAAUGUAACUUGUAUGAGCCUAGGCAAAGGGGGAGUAUUCUUCAUGGUUCCCAGUUUCAAUAAGCAAAUGCAAGCACUUGAGCAAUCAACACAAUUGUAAGCAUCGCAGAUGAUGGAUUUUGGCUCAUUGUUGAGAGGGUUCUGUUCUAUAUGGGCAACACAUCAGUACUACAGUGGUACUACAUAUUCCCAAGCGAAGAUAUAUUGUCGAGUUAAGGGAUUUAUGGGUUACCUAUGAGUCCAACCUUAAAGAACUAGAUGAAGAGUGAAGAUGGUAUGGAUUAUGAAGAUGAUGAUGUGACGUAGGUGAUUUAUGACUUCAUUUUAAUUUUAGAAUUUUGUAUUUCUUUACAAAGAAGAUUAUAGGAAGAAAUAUUAAUUAUCUUUAGAUGUUAGACAUUUUUUGUGAUAUUUUUUGGGAUUAUUGAAAAGCAAGGUUUGGAUUA
Spinacia oleracea (spinach) is the source of this 839-nucleotide long non-coding RNA. RefSeq lists it as uncharacterized. The transcript is spliced from 4 exons. The record is from RefSeq and is a predicted model, not a curated record. Lineage: Eukaryota; Viridiplantae; Streptophyta; Magnoliopsida; Caryophyllales; Amaranthaceae.